AACGAACGCUGGCGGCAUGCCGAACACAGGCAAGUCGAACGAGACAUGCGGGAGUAGUGGCGCACGGGUGCGUAACGCGUGGGAAUCUGCCCUAGGGGUCGGAAUAACAGGUGGAAACGACGGCUAAUACCGGAUGAUGACGUAAGUCCGAAGAUUUAUCGCCCAAGGAUGAGCCCGCGUAGGAUUAGCUAGUUGGUGAGGUAAAGGCCCACCAAGGCGACGAUCCUUAGCUGGUCUGAGAGGAUGAUGAGCCACACUGGGAGUGCGACACGGCCCAGACUCCCUCGCGAGGAUGCGCCGGGCUGCCCGGGUCAGGGCGCCAAAGCUCGAUAAAGCAGUGCACCCUGAGCGUUGAAGCACUUAGCGUCCUAACCCCAUUUUACCCGGGCUGAUAAUGCCCGUACCUCCCGACUCAGCCCCGGCUCCCUCCGUG
Molecule: ribosomal RNA, 433 nt
Filed under: uncultured bacterium
Lineage: Bacteria
Description: partial 16S ribosomal RNA
Rfam family: Bacterial small subunit ribosomal RNA
Source: RNAcentral